RNAcentral lists this ribosomal RNA (467 nucleotides) under uncultured bacterium. RNAcentral's name for it is "bacterial SSU rRNA". It matches the Rfam family "Bacterial small subunit ribosomal RNA", at positions 29 to 506 of the family's 1533-position model. The record is from RNAcentral.
ACGAACGCUGGCGGCGUGCUUAACACAUGCAAGUCGAACGAGGUCCACCGCGUAGCAAUACAAGGGAAGACCUAGUGGCGAACGGGUGCGUAACACGUGAGGAACUUGUCCCGGUCUCUGGGAUAACAGUUGGAAACGACUGCUAAUACCGGAUGACGUCGGAAUCUCGCAUGGGAUACUGACGAAAGGGUUGCUGGAUCGGGAGAGCCUCGCGGCCUAUCAGCUUGUUGGUGGGGUAACGGCCCACCAAGGCAUCGACGGGUAGCUGGUCUGAGAGGAUGAUCAGCCACACUGGGACUGAGACACGGCCCAGACUCCUACGGGAGGCAGCAGUGGGGAAUCUUGCGCAAUGGGCGAAAGCCUGACGCAGCAACGCCGCGUGCGGGAAGAAGGCCCUCGGGUUGUAAACCGCUUUCAGCAGGAACGAAAAUGACGGUACUUGCAGAAGAAGGUGCGGCCAACUACGU